GCGUGAAUGGUUUAGUGGUAAAAUUCUCCGUUGCCAUCCGCAACGAUCGGGGAGCCCUGGGUUCGAUUCCCAGUUCACGCA
This 81-nucleotide transfer RNA is filed under the name Trichoderma citrinoviride. It matches the Rfam family "tRNA". Rfam says of the family: Transfer RNA (tRNA) molecules are approximately 80 nucleotides in length. Their secondary structure includes four short double-helical elements and three loops (D, anti-codon, and T loops). Lineage: Eukaryota; Fungi; Ascomycota; Sordariomycetes; Hypocreales; Hypocreaceae. The record is from Rfam by way of RNAcentral.